Molecule: long non-coding RNA, 552 nt
Filed under: Oncorhynchus mykiss (rainbow trout)
Lineage: Eukaryota; Metazoa; Chordata; Actinopteri; Salmoniformes; Salmonidae
Description: lncRNA (ENSOMYG00000048299.1)
Source: RNAcentral
AUGGGCUCUACAGGCUCCAGGUCCAGGCUCAGUCAGGUGGCCCCGUGUCACAGUCAGACAGAGGGAGACCUGGACCAGCAGGCCAGUCAUCCCACUUCACAUUGGACCAUCCCUGCCAUACCAACCCCACUGGAGCAUCAACAUGAGCCGCUGGGACAUAGGAGGACUACCCAGCUGCCCCCACUGAAACUGGAAAACCCUGCAACCUUCCCACCGCUAUCUACAGCCUCCCACAAAGUCAAAUCAACAUUUGGGGUCCAAGCAUCAUUCAUCCUCAGCCACCACGGAGACUACAGGUCAGAACAGGCAGGGACCGGAGAGAUGGGGGUGUCCUCCACUUUUCUACACCCAGCCAGGGGGCACACGGUGGCACCGGCCGCCUGCCGCAGGGAGGUCUCCUGGAGGCACAGAUGGUCCUCAGUCAACAGGCCCAGCAGAGACAGAGAGCCCACCAGAGACAAGUCAGAGAACAGCGGGAGCACGAGAGGAUCUUCUAUACAGAUAAUUUUGGAGCACCAAGCAGCAAAGGGAUACAUGGUGGACCGACUUUGA